RNAcentral lists this ribosomal RNA (253 nucleotides) under uncultured bacterium. Its description in RNAcentral is "partial 16S ribosomal RNA". It matches the Rfam family "Bacterial small subunit ribosomal RNA", at positions 524 to 776 of the family's 1533-position model. The record is from RNAcentral.
UACGAAGGGGGCUAGCGUUGCUCGGAAUCACUGGGCGUAAAGGGUGCGUAGGCGGGUCUUUAAGUCAGGGGUGAAAUCCUGGAGCUCAACUCCAGAACUGCCUUUGAUACUGAAGAUCUUGAGUUCGGGAGAGGUGAGUGGAACUGCGAGUGUAGAGGUGAAAUUCGUAGAUAUUCGCAAGAACACCAGUGGCGAAGGCGGCUCACUGGUCCGAUACUGACGCUGAGGCACGAAAGCGUGGGGAGCAAACAGG